Molecule: long non-coding RNA, 10144 nt
Filed under: Salmo salar (Atlantic salmon)
Lineage: Eukaryota; Metazoa; Chordata; Actinopteri; Salmoniformes; Salmonidae
Description: lncRNA (ENSSSAG00000107092.1)
Source: RNAcentral
CCAACUCAGAAGCUAGGAUAUGCAUAUUAUUAACACAUUCGGAUAGAAAACACUCUGAAUUUUCUAAAACAGUUUGAAUGGUGUCUGUAAGUAUAACAAAACUCAUAUUGCAGGCAAAAACCUGUGAAAAAUAGAUCAAAAAAAAAUGUGAAUUUUGUGACUGUACUAUUUAGUGUCAUUGUUUUAUAGAUACCAUAGUGAGAAAGGAUUCAUUUCGCAACACCUACGGCUUCCACUAGAUGUCAACGAUCUUUAUAAAGUUGUUUGAAGCGUCUAUGAUAAACAGAGAGCAAAUUAGAAUCCAAGGAAGUUGACAUGUCAUCACUUCAUUUUUUUGCGCCUGCGCAUAAAUCUGAGAAACGUGAGUUUGUCAUCAUUUUUUAUCUAGACAUAGGAUAGGUUGUGUGAAAAUAUUACUGAUGUUUAACGUUAAAAAUGGAGCAAAAGAUUAAUGCUAAACAACAUUUGACAUGUUUGAACGAACAUAAAUAGAUUAUUUACUAGGUUUUUUUUUAGCUUUUCGGCGUGAUUUUACCAGCCCCCAACCACGUUUUGUGGGAGCAUAAUGAACGCUAAGUACUUGGUGUUAUUUGGACAUAAAUUAUGAACUUUGUCAAAAGAAACCACAUUUGUUCCGGACCUGGGAUGCCUUCCGGACCUGGGAUGCCUGUCUUCUGAUGGAGAUAAUCAAAGAUGUCAAUUCCAGGAAUCCCAGGUCCAUAACGAAUGUAGUUUUGUUCAAAAAAGCUCAUCAUUUAUGUCCAAAAAUCUCCGUCUUGUUAGCACAUGAUGUAAGCCAGCCGGACUUCUCGUCAUGAACGAGGGGAAAAAAUAUAUUUACGUUCGUUCAAACAUGUCAAACGUUGUAUAGCAUAAAUCAUUAGUGCCUUUUUUAACCAGAACAUGAAUAAUAUUCAAGGUGGACGAAUGCAUUCUCUUUUAUAACGUAUUGGAACGAGGGUACCCAACAUGAACUCGCGCGCCAGAGUCUAAUCGGCCAUCACCGUUCCAUGGCUCUUGUUCGGUCAGAUCUCACAGUAAAAGACUCAAAACACUUUGUAAAGGCUGGUGACAUCUAGUGGAAACAAUAGGAAGUGCCAAAACAGUAAUCAACCCCUCUGUGUUUCAAUGGCAUAGGCUUAAAGGUAAUUCAACACAUCAGGUAUCCACUUCCUGUCAGAAAAUGUCUCAGGGUUUUGCCUGCCAAAUGAGUUCUGUUAUACACAGACACCAUUCAAACAGUUUUAGAAACUUUAGGGUGUUUUCUAUCCAUAUAUAAUAAGUAUAUGCAUAUUCUAGUUACUGGGUAGGAUUAGUAACCAGAUUAAAUCGGGUACGUUUUUUUAUCCAGCCGUGAAAAUACUGCCCCCUAGCCCCAACAGGUUAAACAUGUCUGUAAAAUCACAAUGUGAACAUCGACCUAUCAAGUAAUUUUUCAUAAAUCAUUGGGUACAAUGCAAGAACAAAUGUGAGAGUAAUCUGAAGUGGUUGCAUUAAUUCAUGUUCACAUUUACAACAUAACAUGCAUGAGCAUUUCAUCACUAAGACUUUUUGGGAAUAAUGUCUGAAGGGUGAAAAUCCCAAAACAUUCUCUUUUGUGCAGAGUAUUAUUUAUACCACCUCCCCUGUAUUAUAUCUUGACUUUCUCUAUGCCACAACAUCUAAAAAGUAGAAAUGUCAUGUUUUUGGUCAUUUAAAAUGUACUGACUGGAUAAUCCCUGUCGUUUCUCCUGAUUUAACUUUUAUGUUCACUAAUUCUCUGUUUGAGAGAACGAGAGGUUUUACCUACAUAACACAGCCCACAUGGACAUUUAAUCAUGUAGGUAACAUGGGUGGUGGAGCACGUAAUAAUGUAAUUUAUAUGGAACUGUUUUCCUGUAUGUGGGUGGCAGAAAUAUUCACACUUCAUCAUAUUGUUGCACUGUGCGCAACCUCUGCAUUUAUAGCUACCAUUCGGAAGAGCGUGUAAAAGAGCCAGGAUCAUUUGCUUUAGUGGCUGGCAGUUGGCAUGGACCAAUUUGUCACGUAAAUUGCGACCUUUCCUAUAUACAAUAAGUGGUGGGUUCUUAAAUUCAGCUGGCAAAGCUGGGUCCAAUGAUAAAACACGCCAAUGGGUUUUGCUCAUGAUAGCUUGAACUGACAAUGACUUGGUGAUAAAAACCUAAAAGAUAGCAUUCCAUAGACAAGAUGUGGUGUGUGUGACCCGAGAUAGAGUCAGGAAGAGUUUUUAGAACAAUGCCUCAUUGUCUCAUCUUCCUGGCAUUGGGAAACUAAGCCGAGUUGGAAGUAAAACAACGUCCCGUGCAGAUAACCUGGAGAUGGACCAAGGUGGUUUGUGGGAAGGGUAUAAAUGACUGACUAAGCAUUUUUUAGGGCCUAUAUAGAGUGUGGGGUCGACACUUUCAUUGUUGCAAUAAUGAAUCAAUGUUAAAUAAAAAUUAUUGUUUGAAUAAUUGUCCAAGUCUCUCUCAGUACUGGAACUUCCACAACAGUUUUGGCGACGAGUGUCCGUGUAUAUGUGAUGAGAAAAGGAGUCAAUCGCAGGACACCGAACUGAGUAAAAAUUAAGUAAUUUACUCAACAUAAAAAUUCAGUAUACAAAAUCCAUGCAGGGAAAACAAGAACUACAAAACCAACGAACAAUACCAACAGUAAAACAAUAACGCACAAAACAUCAUGAUGACCAGAGGGUUAAAAUAGGGCAGUAAUCAUAACCAAAUGGGAACCAGGUGUGAACAAUCAAGACAUAACCAAUCGACAAAGAAACAUGGAUCGGUGGCAGCUAGAAAGCCGGUGACGAUGACCGCCGAACGCUGCCCGAACAAGGAGAGGCACCAACAUCGGCGGAAGUCGUGACAACGAGGAGGAUCUCUGCAACUUCACCUGUUGACCGCUCCUGAAGAUCUGGGUAAACUGUGCACAGGGGAUCCAAAAUUGGGAGCUCGGGGAAACCACACUCCAAAGGAGAAGCUGGACCCUCCUCAGAUCUGCAGGAAGCGGGCACGGAUGGAUAUCAGAUCUCGAACAUAGUGCUGAGAGAGGUGAGCUUGGACAAUCUAUCAAUAAGUGAUACAAAAAAAUAUAUAAAUAACAAAAGCCCCUGUCAAGGGUAUGCUCAGAGCAAGGUCUUCCUUAAGAGGGCCACAACUGAGGUAACUAGCAGGACUGAGUUGAGUUGAUAAGAGUGUUCUUAAGUGAGGUUUCCUUGGGCAUGAUUGAGAAUUAGCCUGUUGCGGGCAACCAAAAGUCCAGAUCCGUGGUACUGGGUUGAUCACAGUAGGACUGGUGAUGUUAAUGUGUAGAGCGAGAGACUAGAGCGCAGGUGACGCCUUACAAGGGCACCUGGCAUGGUGAAUUUCAAAUGAUAUGUAUGUAGUUGAUUAAAUGUUUUGUUGAUGAAGUAAACAAGUAUGCCCUGGGUCAGUAUUGUUAGUUGUUAUUGUUAUUCCUGGUUAGAUAAUAACCCGUUUUGGGACCACAAGUUAGGCAAUAUUUUGAUAAUGGUAUGGUUUUCCCUGCUCAUAUAGAGAGGGUUUACAAUCUAAAAACAGCGCUAACGAUUUAAUAAAAAAAUGUUUUUGACUGUCUCAUUCCCUAUGUUUGUGUUUUCUGUGAGUGUGUGAGUGAAGGAGCCGGAACCAUGGGAGCACACGGUAGCGAAGGACACGGAAUUCCAGAUCCCCCAAAGGAUGCCCUGAAGGUUAAGGUAGAUAAAUGGGGAAAUAAUAUUCUGGACCAGGUGCAAUUGUGGCAUAGGGAAGGAGGCUUUCUUUUGACAGGGACAGUGAGUGUGAGGAUGUUAGAUGAAGUCAGGGAAAGACUGACAGAGUACGAAGGGACCAAAAAAGGUAAAAAGGAUAAGAUAGAUUGGAUUAAGUUCAGAAAAUGGGAAAGAGGCAGAAAGGCGUACAGAGACAGGACCCAUUUCGAGGAAAGCCCCAACAGAAUAUGGUAGUACAGACUGAGGAAGAAGGGAAAACAGACAAAGAUGAGACCGUGAGAAAGAAGAGGAAGACGAUGAGUGAUUACCCCCCUCCCUAUUUUUCUCCUUCUAAUUUCUACCCAGUGCUGCCUGUGGCUGUCGACCUUCUUUCCCCCGCCUCUGCCUGAUGCCCUAGCUCUGCACUCCACUACGCCUCUUCACCCAACUCUGUUCCUCCCCUCUCGUAUGAAUCUCCCCUAGCAGCAGCGGUGGACCAACUGCUCUCUGAACUGGCCAUGCAUCAACUCCAAAACCAACCAGAAAAGGGUGCUGCUGGAGGAGCCAGAGCAGAAUGUAGGAAGAGCAACAACCUCUUCUCACAAUAACCACCUCUAGCCAGCCCGUUGGAGGAUGAUGACGACAACAGUGAUACAUCCUCUCAGAACGGAGCAUCAGCUCCCUACUCUCUUCCCCUCCGCUUAAGAGCCAUCUGCAAAGGAAGAUAGACCCGCCGACACCCUCACCAUAUGAUCUAGCACCAGAUAUGUAUCAACAGUACCCUCUGAUUGCAUGUCCAAACCCUCAGCCAUGACCAGCUGCAGGCCACACUGAUUUGGCUGCCUGGCAACCAAUCAUAUACCCAGAGGUCAUGGAGACAUGAUGAAAUUAAAGACAUUGUUGAGGAUUUGCCUGACCCCAGCAAAGAUGCGGUAAAGUUUGCAGCAGAAAUGAGGGUUCUGUCAGGACAGCACCAGCCAUCUGCAGCUGAGAUAGCCCAUAUCUGUAAGAAGAAACUAGGGCUUAGGUGGGCUGAUGUAGAAGGGGACUUUGAUUAUAAUCAGCUCUGGGAUGGGAAUGGAACUGUAUCCCGUCAAGACUGACUGGACAUCCAUCAGAGAAUGCACCAUCAAGAAAGAUGAGAGCCUGGAAGCGUAUUGAAGGAGACUGGAAACCUGUUUCAGGCUGCAAAGCGGCAUCAGACCAAAUUACCUGGCAUAUGGAAAUCUGUUGUAGGACGCCCUGAUGAGGGGCCUGACACCAGACUUGGAGAAAGCGGUGAGAACCACCUGUAUCAGUUGGGAAACUGAACCCCUGUCCACUGUGGUACAACAUUGCAAACAUGCUGAGCGACAACAAUGUGCUCAGAAGGAAGAAAAUACAAAAGAAGAAAGAGUGAAGACUGAAAUUGCAUUCUACCAAGACCAGGUGCCUGCUGGAGUGGGAGGUGGUGGAGGUGGAAGAAAACCCAAACUUGGAAGUUGCUUCACCUAUGGCAAGCCAGGCCAUUUCGGUGCACAAUGCAAUCAAGCCCAGCAGCUGAUGGGAAGAGGCAGGGGCAGACCAAGAGGCAGAGGAGCCCCAAGGGGGGCCCCUCGAGGAGGAGGUCCACCAGGAGGACAAGGAUUGUGGUAUCCCCCUGCUCAACAGCCAUGGCAGCCGCCACCCAACCAAUGGCCAGGGCCACCCCCACAUGGGGGCCCUCCGCCACCGUGGGGACCACAAGGGAGCCCUCAAGGCAGAGGCCAAUCUGGGCAAGGGCAGAUGGGCCCGCCUGCACAGACGACCCUGUACAAUCCAGGACAAGAAAAGGAGGAAGAAUAUUGACAUGGAGAGACAGACACAGAUGAGGUAGAAUCGUCAGGGCAACCAGUGCAUUUGUUUUUAAAGAGCCAUACCCUUCCUCGAAUUGAGCCAACAGUAGAGGCUUGCGUCAAUGGGUGAAAGCAGCUUUGCCUCAGCCCCUGGUGGGAAUCCUACAUAAGCUUCAACCUGGUGACUGGGUUGUGGUCAAGGACCUGAGGAGGAAGCAUUGGACCCAGCAGAAGUGGAAUGGCCCAUUCCAGGUGUUGCUGAUAAACCCCACCACUGUUCGAGUGGCUGAGAGAUCGACAUGAGUACACUCCAGCCACUGCAGGAAGGUCCCAUAUGAUCCAGUUUCAGAUGUCCCGGAGGAUGGGUUUCCGCCAGCCAUGACCUAGUUGGCCGUGGGAGAAUCAGGAUGAAGUCAGAGGAAUCCUGGUUGUUGCAUUCUUUGCCAGCCUCUUCAUCUCAAUGACUGUUUGAACCCUGCAGAGAGGGGAAUAGGCGAAAGGGGAGGAUGGCCCAAAUAUCACUGCAGUCCCAAAGCUGGGACUUAAUAACAGCCACUCCAGCUCAAGCCAAUGGCAGGCUCAGGACAUGAGUCCAGUAAACAAUAGCCACACUGAGACCAGAAGAAGCAGGAGCUCGAUGCAUCCACUGGAUGAGCAUCACAGCCAGAAUCAUGAGGAAAACACUUGGUGGUCACUGCUUAAUUAUACAGUAAAAACUGAACUAAUGGUAGAAAACACCUCCUGUCAUGUAUGUAGUCUUUUUCCACGCUCAGCGAUCUCAACAUUCUUACAGUAUUCAGUAGAGGCCAGCAUUAACGACACUCUAUGUGCACUGGAAGUCAUCUUAUCAAAUUAAACUUCAUGGGGUUAACCUUCACAGGGUAGAACUAUGAAGGAAAAAUGCAUUAAUGAUGAUUUGUCAUUGUCAAAAGAUAUGAGGCAGAUUUGAUUGUAAACGUUGGUGUACUAAAAUGAUUUUAGAACCUAGACACCGUGUACUGAAACCUAUACUAAUCCAACCCCGCCAUUGUCACAACCCAAGUAUUAUCUCCAUACCACGAUCUUAUGAAUCCUAUUUGGGAAUGUCAACAUGUGUUAAUUAUAGUCUUCCCAUUAGGAUGUAGCUGGAUAAAUGGAACAUGCAAUUCUAACUGGCCUGUUAAACUUAAUGUGGGGCACACCACCAUUCAAGUAGAAACAGACGAGCGCUGUCCACAUCAAUAUGGCUCAGCCACGUUUAAUGAUCAUUAUUGGAUCUGUGGUAAUAAGGCAUAUCUUUAUUUACCAACAAAUUGGACAGGGUGCUGUGUUUUUGGUAAACUAAACAUCUCCAUUGUUGUAAUGCAUAAAACAAACUCCUCCAUUCCACGCAGAUUAAGACGGAUUAGGAGGAGCAUUUCACAAUUGAAUGACGUUCCAAUUGAGUCACGACGAUCCUCAGAACUUGAAGUUUUGGCAUGGGUUAAUUUCUUGAUAUGGGGCAUCGGAAAAUGCCCAUGACUUAGAACGAUUGGGAUAUCAUUUAGAAACUUUUGUAAAUUUAAACCACUUCAGGAUUUUCGAUAAUGAGACCAGAAUUACAAGCAGCUCGCCUCACGGCUAUACAGAAUAGAUUAGCACUUGAUAUGUUACUAGCACAGGAAGGGGGAGUGUGCCAAAUGAUAGGUGAAUAUUGCUGUACAUUCAUACCCCAGGAUGAGGGUAACUUCACUAUUGUUGUGGAACAUCUGGAAGAGCUCACCGGCGAUCUCACAAAAGAACACCAACCAGACAACAAUUGGAAUCCGUUUGGAUGGGUUCAAUCAUUAUUUGGUGUUAUGGAAACAACAGUUUUCCAUUGGCUCAUUUAUGGCCAAUUAAUAUUUUUUGCUGUGCUAUUUCUUAUUGUCUAUGUUAAAAAUCUUUGUUGUAAAGUGCUGGAUACUGCCCUCACUAUGCCAUUGCUUGAUGUUCAUGCUGACUCUGAGGAUGAUGAGAAUAAUGAUGAUGUAUCUAUAAAUGAUCGAAUGCCUGAUAUUCCAGACCUAUUUCCCAUUCCUGAUUACAUACAGUGGGGAGAACAAGUAUUUGAUACACUGCCAAUUUUGCAGGUUUUCCUACUUACAAAGCAUGUAGAGGUCUGUAAUUUUUAUCAUAGGUACACUUCAACAGUGAGAGACAGAAUCUAAAACAAAAAUCCAGAAAAUCACAUUGUAUGAUUUUUAAGUAAUUAAUUUGCAUUUUAUUGCAUGACAUAAGUAUUUGAUACAUCAGAAAAGCAGAACUUAAUAUUUGGUACAGAAACCUUUGUUUGCAAUUACAGAGAUCAUACGUUUCCUGUAGUUCUUGACCAGGUUUGCACACACUGCAGCAGGGAUUUUGGCCCACUCCUCCAUACAGACCUUCUCCAAAUCCUUCAGGUUUUGGGGCUGUCGCUGGGCAAUACGGACUUUCAGCUCCCUCCAAAGAUUUUCCAUUGGGUUCAGGUCUGGAGACUGGCUAGGCCACUCCAGGACCUUGAGAUGCUUCUUACGGAGCCACUCCUGGCUGUGUGUUUCGGGUCGUUGUCAUGCUGGAAGACCCAGCCACGACCCAUCUUCAAUGCUCUUACUGAGGGAAGGAGGUUGUUGGCCAAGAUCUCGCGAUACAUGGCCCCAUCCAUCCUCCCCUCAAUACGGUGCAGUCGUCCUGUCCCCUUUGCAGAAAAGCAUCCCCAAAGAAUGAUGUUUCCACCUCCAUGCUUCACGGAUGGGAUGGUGUUCUUGGGGUUGUACUCAUCCUUCUUCUUCCUCCAAACACGGCGAGUGGAGUUUAGACCAAAAACCUAUUUUUUUGUCUCAUCAGACCACAUGACUUUCUCCCAUUCCUCCUUUGGAUCAUCCAGAUGGUCAUUGGCAAACUUCAGACGGGCCUGGACAUGCGCUGGCUUGAGCAGGGGGACCUUGCGUGCGCUGCAGGAUUUUAAUCCGUGAUGGCGUAGUGUGUUACUAAUGGUUUUCUUUGAGACUGUGGUCCCAGCUCUCUUCAGGUCAUUGAACAGGUCCUGCCGUGUAGUUCUGGGCUGAUCCCUCACCUUCCUCAUGAUCAUUGAUGCCCCCCGAGGUGAGAUCUUGCAUGGAGCCCCAGACUGAGGGUGAUUGACCAUCAUUUUGAACUUCUUCCAUUUUCUAAUAAUUGCGCCAACAGUUGUUGCCUUCUCACCAAGCUGCUUGCCUAUUGUCCUGUAGCCCAUCCCAGCCUUGUGCAGGUCUACAAUUUGAUCCCUGAUGUCCUUACACAGCUCUCUGGUCUUGGCCAUUGUGGAGAGGUUGGAGUCUGUUUGAUUGAGUGUGUGGACAGGUGUCUUUUAUACAGGUAACGAGUUCAAACAGGUGCAGUUAAUACAGGUAAUGAGUGGAGAACAGGAGGGCUUCUUAAAGAAAAACGAACAGGUCUGUGAGAGCCGGAAUUCUUACUGGUUGGUAGGUGAUCAAAUACUUAUGUCAUGCAAUAAAAUGCAAAUUAAUUACUUAAAAAUCAUACAAUGUGAUUUUCUGGAUUUUUGUUUUAGAUUCCGUCUCUCACAGUUGAAGUGUACCUAUGAUAAAAAAAUUACAGACCUCUACAUGCUUUGUAAGUAGGAAAACCUGCAAAAUCGGCAGUGUAUCAAAUACUUGUUCUCCCCACUGUAUCUGAUGAUGAGGACCCUAACCCUGAUCUUAGAGCUAAGGGUAUUGAACUAAUGGUCCACUCAGUUUGUAGGACAUAUCCCAAGAAAGGUAGAUGUUCUUGGUGUUAAAAAUCAAUGAAUGGUAAGGAUGGACAUUUUCAUAAUUCUGACCCCUAUCUUUGUGCGUAGUGCCAGCGUGAUGAUUAUCCUAUUGCUGUAAUGAAACUUUUGUGUGAUUGAAUUUUUGUUUCGUUUUCUGUUCCCGAUUGACUGUUUUUGGAUAAGAAAGGUCUGAAACUCAGCAACCCAAAGGAAGGGUUUUUACAAUGGAUGAAAUGUCAGGCACCAGAAAUAUGUACUUUGUUUAAAAUGUAUAUGUUUACCAAUAAUCAUGUAAUGCUUGUACCCUUACAUUUUUCUGUAAGAAACUUAGUUUCUUGAGAAGGAAAUGUGACAGAAAAAUUGUAUUUACCUAAUUUGUUGGAUAUUUAACAAGUAUUUACUUACCAAACAGUAAAAUAUUUCUGUCCUGCUAAUUCUGUGUUAAAGUGAUGGUUUCCACUUUAACUUCCUAUAGUUACUCUGGGUGUCUGGUUCAGGAAAUGGGUUUUGCUAGAGAUAGCUUGAGCUGACAAUGACUUGGUGAUAAAAACCUAAAAGCUGGCAUUUCAUAGACAAGAUGUGGUGUGUGACCCGAGAUAGAGAGAGCCUGGAAGAGCUUAGAACAAUGCCUCAUCUUCCUGGCAUCUUGGAAACUUAGCCGGAUUGAAAGUAAAACAAGAUCCCGUGCAGAUGAACCAAGUUGGCUUAUGGGAAGGGUAUAAAUGAAUGACUAAGCAUUUUUUAGGGCCUAUGUAAGAUCUCUGCUUUUUCAUUAUCAGUUAACCUGUUUAGGAUAGGGGGCAGUAUUUUCAUGGCCGGAUAAAAAAACGUACCCGAUUUAAUCUGGUUAUUACUCCUGCCCAGAAACUAGAAUAUGCAUAUAAUUAUUUUUAUUUGGAU